GGGUCGUUAGCUCAGCUGGUAGAGCAGCGGACUCUUAAUCCGUUGGUCGCAGGUUCGAUCCCUGCACGGCCUACCA
This 76-nucleotide transfer RNA is filed under the name Burkholderiales bacterium. RNAcentral describes it as "tRNA-Lys". It matches the Rfam family "tRNA". Rfam says of the family: Transfer RNA (tRNA) molecules are approximately 80 nucleotides in length. Their secondary structure includes four short double-helical elements and three loops (D, anti-codon, and T loops). Further hydrogen bonds mediate the characteristic L-shaped molecular structure. tRNAs have two regions of fundamental functional importance: the anti-codon, which is responsible for specific mRNA codon recognition, and the 3' end, to which the tRNAs corresponding amino acid is attached (by aminoacyl-tRNA synthetases). tRNAs cope with the degeneracy of the genetic code in two manners: having more than one tRNA (with a specific anti-codon) for a particular amino acid; and 'wobble' base-pairing, i.e. permitting non-standard base-pairing at the 3rd anti-codon position. RNAcentral also lists the same sequence under 4 other names. Lineage: Bacteria; Pseudomonadati; Pseudomonadota; Betaproteobacteria; Burkholderiales. The record is from RNAcentral.